RNAcentral lists this ribosomal RNA (754 nucleotides) under Meloidogyne arenaria. RNAcentral describes it as "eukaryotic LSU rRNA". It matches the Rfam family "Eukaryotic large subunit ribosomal RNA", at positions 350 to 965 of the family's 3401-position model. The record is from RNAcentral. Lineage: Eukaryota; Metazoa; Nematoda; Chromadorea; Rhabditida; Meloidogynidae.
ACCGUGAGGGAAAGCUGCAAAGCACUUUGAAGAGAGAGUUAAAGAGGACGUGAAACCGGUAAGGUGGAAACGGAUAGAGUCGGCGUAUCAUUCAAUUAUUCAGUUACAUUAUUUUUAUGUUGUGACCUCUGAGCUCCAGAUUGGGACAGAGGGAAUCAGCAUAAAUUUUUGUGGUGCAUUUACUUGAUUGGUGCUUGGGGAUGUUUGAGGCAGAUUUGUUUCCGUCGUUUUGAGGCCAGCUUGCUGGUACCCAAACGGUGUUAGCAUUUUUUGUCUUGGGCAUUUGAGUAUGGCUCACGUGUAUUUAUUGGACAGAUCUGAGUGUAAGUUACGGUCGCAUGCGACACGUGCUUUUCAAUUAGUUCGGUCCAGUUAAUGCUCUCGUACUCGUUCCCCAUGUAAAAGCCGGUCAUCUAUCCGACCCGUCUUGAAACACGGACCAAGGAGUUUAUCGUGUGCGCAAGUUUUUGGGUGUUAAAAACUUAAAAGCGAAAUGAAAGUAAAUGACUCUUUAGAGUCUGAUGUGCGAUCUUGUAAAAAAGUGUAGCAUGGCCCCAUUCUAACUGUUUACAGUAGGGUGGCGGAAGAGCGUACGCGGUGAGACCCGAAAGAUGGUGAACUAUUCCUGAGCAGGACGAAGCCAGAGGAAACUCUGGUGGAAGUCCGAAGCGGUUCUGACGUGCAAAUCGAUCGUCUGACUUGGGUAUAGGGGCGAAAGACUAAUCGAACCAUCUAGUAGCUGGUUCCUUCCGAA